This is a long non-coding RNA of Phyllostomus discolor (pale spear-nosed bat), 5436 nucleotides long. RefSeq lists it as uncharacterized. The transcript is spliced from 2 exons. The record is from RefSeq and is a predicted model, not a curated record. Lineage: Eukaryota; Metazoa; Chordata; Mammalia; Chiroptera; Phyllostomidae.
UAAUUAGAAAUUACUCCCCAAAAGAAAGUACAAAAUCUUGCAAAAUACCCACAAUCUUAUUACUCAGAGAUGACUUCCUUUAACAUUUGGAGUAUAUCCUGUCCUGUUCUAUCAUAUCCUUUCAUACAUUUUUCUGUAAUCAGUGUCCUUAUUUUUUACAAAAAUUGAGUCCUAUUCAAAUCAUUUAACCACCUUUUUUGCUAUUUUUCCAUUUUGCUCAAUAAGUUUCUAUGCCACAGGAGUCCUCUAAGUAAUCAGUGUUCUAUGAUACUUUUGUUCUCCUUUUUUUUUUGCUAUUAAACAAUGUGAUGAUCUUCUUUGCAUAUGCAUUUUUACAUAUGUGCCCCAUUAAUUCCUAAGGAUAAAUCUUUGGAAGCUGAAUCCUGGGGUCAGAGGAUAUGCACUUUGAAAAUGCUUAUGAUACUCAGUGCCAAAAUGCCCCAUAGAAAUGUUAGGUCUGUUCACAUACUCUCUCAGCAGUGUCUGAUUAGUAAUCUGUAUGUUUCAAGAUGAGUUUUUAAUAUUUUUAAGAUGCUGCUUCAUGACAUUAGUGAAUUUAAGUGUUGGUUUUUGAAUGAAAGCAUUAGCAAGCUGGAUGUAUUUGAAGUGUUGCUGGUGAAUCUUUGGAGCGCUCUGUUCACACAACCUUUUCUGCAGCAUUUUUGCACUGCUUUAAUCAACCAGUUCUAUUAUUAGUGGAAGACAGUUGGCAAGACUAUGAAAUGUUUACCAUUGGGCUUACUCUGUUUUUAGGAGAUGCAUGUAUGAAAAUAUCUUUUCUCAAAUACUACUUUAUAUUUAUUCUUGUAGUUGAAAAGCCCAUGCAGCCAAAUAUCUGUCCACACAUACAUUUCAAGACUAUAUUCAGUUUUGAACUCCUGUUUUAAAUAUCUUUUAGAAUUAAUGGAUUUUUGUGCAUGGCGCUUGGCAUACAACAUUUAAAAAAAUAAGGUUAGAAAAAGUCAGAGAUCUGUUUCCUACAAUGGUACAGAGAAUCCUUUGAAAAACUACUCCUUUAUCUUCUCAAUGAGGCAGGGACGUAUUCCUUUGAAAAGAAAAAUUUGGAAUUCUAAAGCCAUUCUUGCCAAUUCCUGCAAAUACAGCACUCUGAUUUCACACCAGGUUAUUAACAAAGACAUGGAUUCUGAAUGAUGAAAAGAAGGAAGGACACAGCAAGAAAGAAUGUUGCUAUGCUACAUUAAAUUUCCCUCUUGGAUCUCAGAAAUGUCCUUUUCUCCGGAGCUGGAUAAAGUUUCAUUAUAAAAAUAAGAGGUAGUACAGAAAAUCUGAGAGAUUUUUGUCCUAAAAUGUGCAGCUGGCAUCUUGAAGAAAGUUUUAUCAGAUUCUGAAUUAGUUUAGUUAACACAAUUGCCAGUUUAUCUUUGUUUGGGGCUUGACAAAAACUGGCUUGAUAUUGUAUUUAACAAAGAUUUGUUAAGGUGUGUUCUGUGUCAUAGCCCAUGUUAUAAGCAUUCUAUGAACACUAACUAAUUUCAUGUCCACCAUCCUGUGAGGUAUGUGUACUAAUAUUAGGUCAUUUCACAAGUGAGGAAACUGAGGCAUAGAACAAUUAUAUAAAUUUCCUAAGAAUACUAAGCCAGUGUGUGAUGAUGUGGAUUGUCAAACACAGUCAGCCUUACUCAAGAUUUUGUGUUUCUAAUAACUUUGCUAUGCUGCCUGGUAUACGUAAGCAUGCACACAACAUGGGUUUUAGGAAAUAUUAGGUUGUUUUUUACACCAUUGUGUUUGGUCACCAUUAUUCUCUAGUUGACCAUAGUUGUCACCCUUGGCAGCAUAUUAGAAUCACUGAGAGAGCUUUUCAAACUCAGGUAGCUCAGGCAGACACGUCAUCUAGUAAUCAGUGGGACCCAGGAGCCAGUAGUUUUUAAAGCUCCUCAGAUGAUUCCAGUAUGCAGCCAAGGCUGAGAAGCUCUGAUCUAGGAGACAAGGCAUUACUGAUGGCCAUUACUUUAUUAGAAAAAGAGCACUGUGGCCAUGUCUUGAUUCAUUUCACUGAGUUUUCUAAGAGAUGAACUUAUUCACAAAAGAGCAAUCUUGUUUCAAAUGGAGGCAGUGUAAGUGUGGGAAAAUGGCUCCUUAUGAAGAUUCUGGUUCUGACAAUAUUUUAGAAGAUUAGGGGGGUGUGGAACCAUUUGUGUUAAUAUAAUUUAAUCAGCUGUUUCACUUUAUUACUCGGGUGAAUGGAAUAGAUGUCCUUCCUCAAAUCAGAGCCCAGUUGGUUUUGAUCUACAUCUGAAUCUCCAGGUGAAUCCUUCUAGAGAUAAGAGAAAAUCAUUGGCAGUAGAGAAGGAAAGUCAUGUCUUAGAUGGUUGAACAGUGUCACGAGGCUUAGGCUGUGGCAUCUUCAAUUCUCUGUGGGUACUGUAGAACUAUUUUUUUCUUUCUUUGACUGGACAUAGAAGGGAAACAUUGAGCAUGCAAGAAUUUGGAAUGAGUACUUCUAUUGAAGCAGCAUUGUGAAAUUAAAUAGCAAAUUGCCUUUUAAGAAAAACCACUUUUAGUCACAAUGGUGUGAGCAUAGCAUAUAUAACAUUUAAGGAAAUCUAUCAAACAUGGGUCAGUAGUUAAUGGUAAACAUUUCUGCUGUUUCGCAUGAAUCAUGCUGAGAAUGUGAACCUGUUAUUUGAGGUAUUUGUUUUGGAAUUGUUCAAACAAGACUAAAACAUGUCAGCGAAGUGGUUAGCAUACUCUCUUCUGUUUAGACAUCUCAGUUUGUCUCAGAAGUCUUUUGGCUCAUGGGAAUACCACUGGUAGAGGAGCACAAGGGUAUUUGUCAUUAUGGAUGUACAUGAAAGAUAAUUACAGAAGGCCCUGUUUCUGUUUGUUCCUGUUGUAAAGUGUCUUCUGGAAUUGCAUUUCUAUGAUGGCUGUCUUGGGGCACAUAAAAGGAUUGUGAUAACUGGAAUAGACUGUCUACUGCUGUUUUGGGUAACAACAGAUGAAUUAUACAGAUUCUGUGGAAUUUGUAAUAUAAUCUAUGACCCAAAUAAUGCUUUUAAAUUGCAAAAUGUAUCCUAAAUAUAGAAGACUGUUCAGUAGCAAUAAUACAGUAUAGAGAAUAACCACCCAUGUGCCCCCACCCCAUUUAAGAAAUGGAACAAUAGCAGCUCCUUAAAGGUGUCCUUCCCCAGUUGCAUAAUACUCCUUCCCUUGACAGAUAACCACUACCCUGACUUGUGUUGCUUAUUUUCAUACCUUUCUUUUUAUUGUCCCUAUGUAUGUAUGUAUCCCUAAAUAUUAUAAUUUUUUGGUUUUGAAAACCAAGCAGCAAGCACAAACCUAGCUGUGUAAGGAAAAGGAGACAAUGCUUCUUUUUGAUUAAAGUCCCAAGAGAAGGGAAGUGAGCCAAGUCUCCGGGAGAAGUCUGGGUUCAGAUGCCAUGUGGUUAUUCUGGAGAAGUGGGUGGGUAAGGCCAUGUGUGAAUCCAAGGGAAAAAAAAUGGGCCCAACAUCAGGAUAUCUGGUGGUGCUACAGUAUAGGGCCAGGUACUACAUGCCUAGCAGGAAGAUAUUGGGGAAUAAGCCAGGGGAUGGUCUCUACUUUUCAGCUCACUGGGACCUUCCUCGAGCUCUCAGGAAUAGGACAUAGCAGAAUGUUGCCAUGGAGUGAAAUAGAGUCCCAGGCAGCAGAGCAUGGUGGGGAGAGUGGGGCAACUAUCAACCAUGGUGAGGAAAAACAAUACAGUAAGGAUCUGAACCCUCCUCACUCAGUCAUUCUGUCCUCAGAUUUCAUGGCAUCAAGCAUCUUGUGGUGAAGUCCUCAGCAUACCCAUCUCUGGAGUCACCCUGCUCCAGUCUGGACUGGUUGCCCUCUUUUUACUUGCCCAGCUAUCAUCCUGGGCUCAUCUUUCACUUAUCCAGAGCUUCCCUUUAUCUCUCCUGCCUUACAGCUGCUUUUUCUUCAAUUGUGUCUUCCUCGUUGCUUGUUCUGGUGAUGCACAUCCUCAAGUAACUUUAUAAGAAAAGGUACAUGGGAAGUAAAUUUUCUGAGGGCUUGUAUGCCUGAAAAUGUCUAUUCUACCAUCAUUCUUGAUUGGCAGUUUGGGAAUAGAAUUCCAAGUUAGAAAUCAAAGUUCUGAAGGGAAAUUAACACAUUGCUCUGCUUCCCUCUCUACUACUGAUCUUGAGAAGUGUGAGGCCAUUCUGAUUCCUUAUAGGCUACUAAUGGCCUGAUUUUCUUUUCUCUGGAAGCUUGUAAAGUGUUUUUGUCCCCAAGGAUCAGAAACGUCUCACUAAUGGACCAAGGGGUGGGUUUGUUUUAAUCCUCUGUGCUAGAUGGUCUAUGACAUAUUCUGUGCCACUUCAUUCUGACACCCCAUCUUCUUCUGUUUUGGACAUUUUUUUUUGUUGAAUAUUCCUUUUAUUCUCCAUUUUUCUCUUCUAAUUCUGCAACUAACAUUCAGAAGCUAGAUUCUCCAUAGCAGUUAUUUAAUUUUCUAUUCUUUUAUUUUUCAUCUUUGUAUUUUUCUAAUUUGGGAGACAUAUCUUCUUGCACUUCUAUUGCUUUUAAUUUCUCAUAUUAUUUUUUCAAUUCUAAGAUGAUUAUUUUACAUUUAUAAUUUUCUAGGUUUUGUUUUCUAUCAUUUACUUAUUUCAUAAAUACAAUAUUAUUCCUCUCCAAGGAUAGUCAUGAUCUGUACUUGCUUAACUUUUCUCAUAACUGUGUAGUCUUUGUUCUGUACAAGUUGUUCUUUUGUGUUUGUCUUUACCUCUCUCCUUUUUUGUUGGAAGCUUUUCACAGCUGUCUGUUAAUCCCUCUUUGCUUGGGGACUAGAAAGCUGUUGUUGUGAAGCUCUGAGCAGGUGGGUGAAGCUUGUUGAAUUUAUUUCACCACAAGGUGAUCUGGGUUGGGCAUUUUUUGGAAGACCCUAAUGUCUGUAUCUUUAGGUCUUUCCCCUGGGAUUGCUUAGAUGCCCUGCAAUCCCAGGGGAAAGACCUGAUUGCUUCAGUUUCCUGCUGAAAUGGGCGGGUCUGGUAUUCAGUCUGGAGGCUCCUGAGAAAGGGGACUGGGGUACAGGCUAUCUCUGCUUUCAGGGUUCAGCAUGCAUCUUGCUGGUCACUUAAUGCCCUUCUUUGCACUAUAGUGUCCAUGGCCCAACUAUACCUCCCAAACCAGAUGCCCUAUGUUUUACCCUAUUCAGGAAAUAACCCUCUGGAUGUUUCCCUGGGUGGGGAAAGGGCAGUCACUUACUGGAAUGGAGAUUUUCCCCCCAACCAUUUGCACCUUUGCCAUCCUCUUUAUCCCCAGGUCUGGGGGAGCUUGGUGCCCAUGUUUAGCUUUUCUCUCUGAUGGUUUGAGAUCAUUUUUCCCCUCACUUGCUGAAUUGAUUACUGCUUAUCUUUCUGCUUUGAAGCUUCCAAGACUUUGCUGCUAUCUCUCCCUCUUCUUUUCUCUUAGGUUUGUCUUUUACAAAAA